GGAGUCAGUUCUGUAGGAAGCUCAGGAUGGCUUCUGGAAAGUGUCUAAGCAGCACCAGCUAGUGGGGAUCCAGACACAGCUCAAAGGAGUUCAGGAAAGAAAACAGGCCAUCUGAGCCCUAGAGGAUCUGUUCAGAUGCAAACCUGACCAGGGGCUUUGGGACCUGGAAAAGCUCGAGGCACACUGCGUUCUCCAUGGUGGUGGCCCUUGUGUUCAGUGUUGAGCAACCAGAAAUGUCAAGAAUUGGCUGUAAACCAGGACUCAUCCCCUUUUGCC
This 276-nucleotide long non-coding RNA is filed under the name Aotus nancymaae (Ma's night monkey). RNAcentral's name for it is "lncRNA (ENSANAG00000038770.1)". Lineage: Eukaryota; Metazoa; Chordata; Mammalia; Primates; Aotidae. The record is from RNAcentral.